CGCACCUUGCGCCCUUUGGUAUUCCGAAGGGCACACCUGUUUGAGUGUCGUGAAAUUCUCAACCCUCUUCAUUUUUUUGAUGAAGCUAGGGAUUGGACUUGGAGGUCUUGCCGGGCUCUACGCUCGGCUCCUCUCAAAUGCAUUAGUACGUCUUGUUGCGACGUGCGCCUCGGUGUGAUAAUUAUCUACGCUGUGGUGCGCUUGCUUCUGUGGAGACGCGCUUUCAAACCGUCCGAAAGGACAAGCUUUCAUCGAACUUUGACCUCAAAUCAGGUGGGACUACCCGCUGAACUUAA
This 296-nucleotide unclassified non-coding RNA is filed under the name Stereaceae sp. RNAcentral describes it as "partial contains 5.8S ribosomal RNA, internal transcribed spacer 2, and large subunit ribosomal RNA". Lineage: Eukaryota; Fungi; Basidiomycota; Agaricomycetes; Russulales; Stereaceae. The record is from RNAcentral.